AGUUAAGUGAACAAGGGCAUACGGCGGAUGCCUUGGCGCCAAGAGCCGAUGAAGGACGCGGUAAGCUGCGAAAAGGCAUGGGUAGGAGCAAGCAUCCAGUGAUCCAUGCAUAUCCGAAUGGGGCAACCCACCAUCAGUCAUGUGAUGGUACGAAAGAGGCAGACCUGGGGAACUGAAACAUCUAAGUACCCAGAGGAAAAGUAAUCAAUUGAGAUUCCCUAAGUAGCGGCGAGCGAAAGGGGAAGAGCCCAAACCAGAUAACUUCGGUUGUCUGGGGUUGAGGACCGGCAAAAAGAGGAAACUUCUUAGUCGAAUGGUUUGGAAAGGCCAUGCAUAGAAGGUAAAACACCUGUAGGCGAAAAGAAGUCAAUCGGGCUGGUAUCCAGAGUACUGCGAGACACGUGAAACCUUGCAGGAAGCAGGGGGGACCACCCUCCAAGGCAAAAUACUACUUGGCGACCGAUAGCGCAUAGUACCGUGAGGGAAAGGUGAAAAGAACCCCGGGAGGGGAGUGAAAUAGAACCUGAAACCGUAUGUCUACAAGCAGUCGAAGCACCUUAAGAGUGCGACGGCGUGCCUAUUGAAGAAUGAACCGGCGAGUUACAUUAUGUUGCGAGGUUAAGUGGGAGACACGGAGCCGAAGCGAAAGCGAGUCUUAAUAGGGCGACUAGUAACAUGGUGUAGACCCGAAACCGCAGUGAUCUAUCCAUGGUCAGGUUGAAGCGCAGGUAAAAAUGCGUGGAGGACCGAACCCGUGAGUGUUGAAAAACUUUGGGAUGAACCGUGGAUAGGGGUGAAAUGCCAAUCGAACGCGGAGAUAGCUGGUACUCCCCGAAAUAGCUUUAGGGCUAGCCUCAGGGAAGAUUAUAGACGGUAGAGCACUGAUCUGGCAAGGGGGCGUAAAGCCUACCGACCCUAGUCAAACUUCGAAUGGCUAUAAUUAAGACCCUGGGAGUCAGACUGCGAGUGAUAAGACCCGUAGUCAAGAGGGAAACAGCCCAGACCGCCGACUAAGGUCCCCAAUGCUGUACUAAGUGGAAAAGGAUGUAAGACUUCAUAAACAACCAGGAUGUUGGCUUAGAAGCAGCCACCAUUAAAAGAGUGCGUAAUAGCUCACUGGUCGAGAGGCCUUGCGCCGAAGAUGUCCGGGGCUCAAGUACAGAACCGAAGUCGCGGCAGGAUUUAUAAUUCUGGGUAGGGGAGCGUUGUAUAUCCGACUGAAGGUGUACCGGAAGGAGCGCUGGAGGAUAUACAAGAGAGAAUGCCGGUAUGAGUAGCGAAAAGAACAGUGAGAAUCUGUUCCACCGAAAGCCUAAGGUUUCCUGAGCAACGCUCGUCGACUCAGGGUAAGUCGGGACCUAAGCCGAGGCAAAAAGCAUAGGCGAUGGACAACAGGUUAAUAUUCCUGUACCGCUUCAAAUCGUUUGAGCAAUGGAGUGACACAGAAGGUAGCUUGAGCACGCGAAUGGAUGUGCGUGUCGAAGGUGGUAGGUUGCAGUAUAGGCAAAUCCGUACUGUAUAAGACCGAGAACUGAUAGAUAGAC
RNAcentral lists this ribosomal RNA (1544 nucleotides) under Megamonas funiformis. RNAcentral's name for it is "partial 23S ribosomal RNA". It matches the Rfam family "Bacterial large subunit ribosomal RNA", at positions 1 to 1575 of the family's 2925-position model. The record is from RNAcentral. Lineage: Bacteria; Bacillati; Bacillota; Negativicutes; Selenomonadales; Selenomonadaceae.